This is a long non-coding RNA of Rhodamnia argentea, 811 nucleotides long. RefSeq lists it as uncharacterized. Lineage: Eukaryota; Viridiplantae; Streptophyta; Magnoliopsida; Myrtales; Myrtaceae. The transcript is spliced from 3 exons. The record is from RefSeq and is a predicted model, not a curated record.
UCCGGCUCGUCCCCGACCCUUUCCUCUCACUCUCAACCACUACAUGCCGAAGGACCCAUCCGACCUGAAUGUACUUCAGUUCCACGUGCUUCUAUUCCACCUUCUUCAGUGGAACACUCGCAUUAUGAGGGAAGCACGCCUGAAGAAGAUAGCCGGACCGUGAUAAGGCCAUUUGGAGAUUCAUUCGACGACGCUCUGCGGGUGGUGUGGGUACUUAAUAAAAUUGUGAAUAACUAUUAGAGGGGGUCGUGGAUUAGUUAUAGUGCCGCUCCAAGACAAGUGAAGGAUUUGUGGUGGAAUGAGUUCAAGUUCAGAUGGGAGGAAUCGGAGGAGGAGAAAAUUAGAAGAAUUUUUAAGAAAAAAGUUGGUGAUCACAUUUGCAACGUGAUGAAUAGAGCAAAGACACAAAAUGUCAAGCCAGAUUUUAUCACCAAUGACGAUUGGGCGAAAAUGAAGACAAGUUGGGAGAGUGAAAAAAAUAAGGGAAGGAGUGAACAGAACAAGAAGAAUCGAGCUUCUUGUUCUUCUGAAGGGUCUGCGACUUAUGCUGGCGGCUCCAUCAAUGUUGCGGAGCAUAGAAAAAGGAUGGUAAGUUCUGAUAAAUAUGUGGUAAUUUAGUUUAAUUUAAUUGCUCAUUUAUGUUUCAAUUUUUUAGGCACAUGAAUUGGGGAUGGAGCCGACGUAUUUCGCUACAUUUGAACGAACAUUUAAAAAAAAAAAAGAUAAGACAUGGACUAACAACCGAGCGAAAUGUAUUAAAGUAUGUAAGGUUAUAUAAUUUUCACUUUAUGGAAACACGGUUUGAAAACCA